This 79-nucleotide microRNA precursor is filed under the name Nomascus leucogenys (northern white-cheeked gibbon). RNAcentral's name for it is "miRNA (ENSNLEG00000029813.1)". Lineage: Eukaryota; Metazoa; Chordata; Mammalia; Primates; Hylobatidae. The record is from RNAcentral.
ACCUCUACCUCCCGGCAGAGAAGGCCGCAGAGGCUGGCUUUCCAAAAACUGCCCCCUCCGCUGCUGCCAAGUGGCUGGU